This 1416-nucleotide long non-coding RNA is filed under the name Salmo salar (Atlantic salmon). Its description in RNAcentral is "lncRNA (ENSSSAG00000101523.1)". Lineage: Eukaryota; Metazoa; Chordata; Actinopteri; Salmoniformes; Salmonidae. The record is from RNAcentral.
UGCCUGUCCUGCUGCCUGUACACCUGCCUGUCCUGGCACCUGUACACCUGCCUGUCCUGCUGCCUGUACACCUGCCUGACCUGCUGUCUGUACACCUGCCUGUCCUGCUGCCUGUACACCUGCCUGACCUGCUUACUGUACACCUGCCUGUCCUGCUGACUGUACACCUGCCUGCACACCUGCCUGUCCUGGCGCCUGCACACCUGCCUGUCCUGGCACCUGUACACCUGCCUGUCCUGCUGCCUGUACACCUGCCUGACGUGCUGUCUGUACACCUGCCUGUCCUGCUGCCUGUACACACAAUACCCCAUAAUGACAAAGUGAAAACAUGUUUUUAGAUGACAUUUUAUUUGUUGUAUUACAGAAAUACAGUAAUAUCUCAUUUACAUAAGUUUUCACACCCCCCAGAGUCAAUACUUUGUAGAAGCACCUUUGGCGCUGAUUCCAGCUGUGAGUCUUUCUGGGUAAGAUUCUACGAGCUUCUGGAACAUUUGCCCAUUGUAUUAUUUUCAAACUUCUUCGUCAAAUUGGUUGUUGAUCAUUGCUUGACAACUAUUUUCAGGUCUUGACAUAGAUUUUGAAGUAGAUUUCGGGGUCAACGGUAACUCGGCCACUCAGGAACAUUCACUGUCUUCUUGGAGAUAAACUCCCCCCCUCCACUCUGCAUCCCCCUGGCCUCACCUGAGUUAACUCAUUCUAACAUUCCAGUACUGUGGGGUUCUGAAAGAUCCAGUCCUGUGGGGUUCUGAAAGAUCCAGUCCUGUGGGGUUCUAAAAGAUCCAGUCCUGUGGGGUUCUGAAAGAUCCAGUCCUGUGGGGUUCUAAAAGAUCCAGUCCUGUGGGGUUCUGAAAGAUCCAGUCCUGUGGGGUUCUGAAAGAUCCAGUCCUGUGGGGUUCUAAAAGAUCCAGUCCUGUGGGGUUCUGAAAGAUCCAGUCCUGUGGGGUUCUAAAAGAUCCAGUCCUGUGGGGUUCUAAAAGAUCCAGUCGUGUGGGGUUCUAAAAGAUCCAGUCCUGUGGGGUUCUGAAAGAUCCAGUCCUGUGGGGUUAAAUGUCUAAAUGUUUGCCAUUGAUCAGCCCUACAGCAGAGAAUGGCUACUGUUACUAUGGAGGAGCAGCCUCAUUGGUCUACUGUUACCAUGGAGGAGCAGCCUCAUUGGUCUACUGUUACCAUGGAGGAGCAGCCUCAUUGGCCUACUGUUACCAUGGAGGAGCAGCCUCAUUGCAGACUUGACAGAGGUCCUUAUUCACAAAGCUACAGACCAGGGUCCUUAUUCACAAAGCUACAGACCAGGGUCCUUAUUCACAAAGCUACAGACCAGGGUCCUUAUUCACAAAGCUACAGACCAGGGUCCUUAUUCACAAAGCUACAGACCAGGGUCCUUGUUCACAAAGCUUUGAUUUGUUUAACACUUUUCUG